AAUGAACGCUGGCGGCAGGCCUAACACAUGCAAGUCGAACGGACCCUUCGGGGUUAGUGGCGGACGGGUGAGUAACGCGUGGGAACGUGCCCUUUGGUUCGGAAUAGCCUCGGGAAACUGGGAGUAAUACCGGAUAAGCCCUUCGGGGGAAAGAUUUAUCGCCAAAGGAUCGGCCCGCGUUGGAUUAGGUAGUUGGUGGGGUAAUGGCCUACCAAGCCGACGAUCCAUAGCUGGUUUGAGAGGAUGAUCAGCCACACUGGGACUGAGACACGGCCCAGACUCCUACGGGAGGCAGCAGUGGGGAAUCUUAGACAAUGGGGGAAACCCUGAUCUAGCCAUGCCGCGUGAUCGAUGAAGGCCUUAGGGUUGUAAAGAUCUUUCAGAUGGGAAGAUAAUGACGGUACCAUCAGAAGAAGCCCCGGCUAACUCCGUGCCAGCAGCCGCGGUAA
Molecule: ribosomal RNA, 449 nt
Filed under: uncultured bacterium
Lineage: Bacteria
Description: partial 16S ribosomal RNA
Rfam family: Bacterial small subunit ribosomal RNA
Source: RNAcentral